CCCUCUUCAUUCACUCUCCUCACGCCGGCGAAGGCACGCAAGUGUUCAAACGCCUACCCAUACGUAAUACUUGUAUAUAUAUAUAUAUAUAUAUUUAUUUAUUUAUUUAUUUAUUUAUUUUCAUAGUUUCUUUCUGUAGAGGGGCAUCAUCUCCCAGUAGCUUGUCUAUCCUUUCGUGCGGGUGGCUGCAUUCGCCUCGAUUGAGCGCAGUGCACCCGCUUGUCCCCUUCGCCUUUCCUUUCCUCCUCUCGCCCUUUUGUUGUUGUACUCAUCUAUCCAUGCAUGCGUGCAUACAUGCGUGUGUGAGUGGUGAGUGCGUGAUGGGCGUGUGCGCGCACGCCUGCACCCGCUUCAAACGUUAUUCUUUUUUGGCCGCCCUCACUCACUAUUUGUUUGCCUUCUUUUCGCUUGUAUUUCCGAAGACGCUGGCCGCCGUCGCGCGCCGGUCGAAUCAACAACGCUAAGGAGCGAAGGACAGAACCCUGCGGUUGAAGUCCCGUUCGCACACCUGCCCCUGCCCCCCCACCCCCUUCGCUCCCUGGCUCACUGAGUUCCGCGUCUGCGUGUACGUUGUCCGCGGCCUCCUCCUGUUUGUCGGUUGGCGUGUUGGCCCAGCGGUACAGCUAGGCGCCUUUAUUCUUUGGGGGGUAUUUCUUUGUCUUUCUUUCGGGGUCUCCUCGGUUAUCCCUAGCACACCCUCUCUGCAACCUUCCAUCUGCACAGACUCACCGACGCCGCCGGACAGAUAACGGCACGAUGCAGCUGACGAGCAAAGGCAACAGGGACGCAGCCACUCGCCAGAGUGACGGUGGCGCAAAGACUGGCGCAGUCGCCGUGGCAGCUGCAUGCCCUGAAGCCCCACCGUCCCCUCCGCUGCAUAGCUAUGUUUUUCCCACAGCGCAGGAGCUCGUCUCGCCGGCGGCGCCACUUAGUAGCAGUAAAAGUGAGGACGUGUUGGAGAUCGAGACCCCCAACCCUGUCGCCGCAGCGGCAGGCGGUUGCCGUGCCGCUGCGGAGCGCCGUGCGUCACGAGUUCGCUUCUUGCUGGCAUUGGAGCCAUUCUUUGAGCCACGCUCGGCAGAGCCGAGCGACGGGCUUUGGAACCGCGCUGACGGCGACUCCGUGUCGUUAGGCCACAGCAACGAGCUGCACCGCACGCUCUCCGUGUCUGCAGCUCAGCUGGAGCCGUACAGCGUGAUCACUAAGACCGGCGGCGUGCAUAUUUCGCGGUGGACACAGGUGCUGGCGCUGCUCCAGCGCACCGGGCAGCAGUACAUGCGCCAGAAGCUGCUCAUCAUCGCCGAGGUCGUUUCGCCGCUGCUCUUUGUCGUUCUCCUGAUCAUCCUGAACGUCGCCUUCGGCACCGAUUCCAUCCCCGAGACCGUCUUCACCGCCCCUGUCGUGUACAGCUACCAGCUGAACUUGCACGACUACAUGACGUAUAUUUGCUACAACGACACGACGCGACCGAUCAACGGGCUGCACCCGUGCGCCCACCUUGAAGUUCCCUACUCGUGCGACGGCGACGAAUCGGGAAUUCCGGUGUACGGGUUGUGCUACCUUAGCGGCUUCAAGAAACCUGCGAUGGUGGUGAAGCACUACGUAAACUCCCUCAUGGGCAUCAUCAUCUCGCUACCGUCCCUCGACUCAAUCAUCGUGCACCAGUGGAUGGCCAAGAAGGCCGGCCUGGCCAAGGACUCCCGUUCCCGCACCGCUUUGGCGGCACUCUCGAACAUCGGCAUCGGCUUGUCCGCCACGACUCGCUUCGACUCCAUCUCAUACUCGGGACUGCUGUACUUCGCCCCCGCGGCGAACACGCCGGCGGCGCUGAUCGAGUACUUUCGCAAGCACUGCGCCAUGUUCGAGUAUGUCUACGGUGGUGUCUUCGACACGGUCGAAGAGGCGCACGCAGUCAUAAAGGCCAACGGUUCAGAUGAGGUUCUCAACUCCACCUGGGGCCUGAUCAUCGUCAACGACAUUACAGAUGGCUUUGAUGUGCAAGUGCAGCUGCACAGCUCCGCGUUGCCGUCACUGUCGUCGCCGACAGUGUCGCUGGAGUUUCGCGGAGGCUUCACGUACGACGGCACCGACAUGUUCCUCGCCUCUGGCUUUCUGUCGCUGCAGCAGAUGUUGUACACGUACUUCUACGAGAGCAGGGCGGAGGCAGGAGCGCUAACCAACCUCCACAACGGCGCGGUCAGUCCGUACACGUUCAAGGAGAUCUACCCCGUCAUCGCCUCCUACCCCACCAUCGCCGCACAUACGCCGUAUCUGCUCUCGCUCUCCCCCUCUCUUGUCGCCCUCGUGAUGGUGAUGUCUCUCCUCUACCCCUUCGCUCAGGUGACCAAGCGCGUGGUGCUGGAGAAGGAACUGUGCAUCCAGGAGUCCGUCUGUAUUAUGGGGCUGAGGCGCUCCUCCCUCUGGCUGAAUUUUCUCUUGGUCAUCUUCUUCGAGUAUGUGCUCAUCUCCAUCCUUCUGACGGUGCUCCUGUGCGCCGUCGUCGCGCCGCGCUCGGACCCCUUCGCUGUCUUCAUUAUUCUGUUCGUGUACUCCCUCACUCUGAUCCCGUUGUGCGGCCUCGUCUCUGCCUUCUUGAGCCGUGCUCGCAUGGCGACGCUGGUGUCACCGCUGAUCUACUUUGUCCUCUCGAUGCCGAUCUUCGCCAUGGGCACGGCGAACCGCAGCAUCGUCAUCGGCCUGUCGCUUCUCUCCCCCACCGCACUCGCCUCACUUCUGACGGAUGUCUUCAUCGUCGAGGCGGGCGGCGGCUUUCAAAUGCACCACUUCAAAAGCCCGCACUUCAACGCCGAGCCGUACCUCAUCAUGAUCAUCCUCGCGUGCGACUGUGUCCUUUACCUGCUGCUCAUGAUCUACCUCAAUGCCGUGCUGCCGCAGGAGUGGGGUACCCGAAAGCACCCGCUCUUCUUCAUCAUCGAACCGUGGGUGUGGCUGAAGGACACCUGCGGCAUCUGUCGCAGGAAUGCUCAGCGUGGGAGUGCAUCUGAGCCUGCCUCUGAGCCGACGGGGACGACAACGGCACUAGAUGUCGUGAGGCUAACCAAGGAGCGGCACGAGAGCGGCACGGCGACGGCGACGUCACAGAAGCAGCAGCGACCCGGUGCUCUCGCCUUCGACCCCCGUAUCAGUCGCGACUCCUCGACCGACGACGAGAAGAACAUCGGUGUUCGCAUCAGUCAUCUCUGCAAGUACUUCCAGCGCAACGGCAAGCGUUUUGCGGCGGUGGACAACGUGUCGUGGAACAUGUAUCGUGGUGAGAUCGCGGUGUUGCUGGGGCCGAACGGUGCUGGAAAGUCGACGACGAUCAACAUGAUCACCGGCAUGCUAGCCGCCGACAGCGGCGACUGCUUCAUUGAAGGCCACUCGAUAACCCAGAAUGUGGCUGAAGCGCGGCACGAGAUCGGCUACUGCCCGCAGCACAACAUCCUGUGGCCUGACCUGACCUGUCGCGAGCACCUCGAGUUCUACGGCAAGAUCAAGGGGCUGCGUGGGGCCGAACUGGAGGACGCCGUCGUGGACAUUCUCCGUGCCGUCGACCUCGAGGAAAAGGUGGACGCUAUUCCAGCGCAGAUGUCGUGUGGCCAGAAGCGGAAGCUGUCCGUCGCAAUCGCCUUUGUGGGUCGCAACCGCGUCGUCCUCCUCGACGAGCCAACCGCCGGCAUGGACACGGCUGCGCGACGUCACACGUGGUCUCUUCUGCGCGCCAUGACCCAGCACCAUACGAUUAUGCUCACGACGCACUUCAUGGACGAAGCGGACCUGCUUGGUGACAACAUCGCCAUUGUGACAGAGGGUGUGCUGCAGUGCGCCGGCAGCACCGCGUUCCUGCGCCAGUAUGCUGGGGUCGGCUACACGCUUCGCUUCGAUCUCACUCCCGUCCCGGCGCAGGAGGAUGGCGAUGCGGCGCGGCAGGCCAAGGUUGCUGCGGUGUGGGCUGAGCUUCAUCAGCUCGUCAUGUCGCACCUCCCGGAUUCCACCUUGGUGCUGCAGACGGAUGCGGAGGUGGUGUACCAGCUGCGACUCAGCACCGAUGCCCGCCUGCCAGAGUUUUUGAAGGAUAUGGAGUCGCGCGGCAACCGGCAGCUGCACAUCCGCGGAUACGCGCUGCGGGCGCCGACGCUGGAGGAUGUAUUCAUGCGUGUCGUCGAGCACCAGAUUGCGCCAUCUUCACAGGUGGCAGUGGUGCGUGCGGCGGACGAGGCGGCGGCGCGAGAACAGGUCGCUGGCGAAAAAGACGGCGGCCGCACCAGCAGCGGCCCGCCUGCGGCCCCCUCGUCUCCGUUAGUGCACCAUUUUGUGAACCGCCGCAUGUCGCGGGCCUCGCUGCACUACCUCAACAACGAAUCGACGCUGAACUACGGCAACAACGCGGAGCCGAGCGAUGGCGAUGAGUACCCGAUGACGGACUUGGCGGCCGCGAGUCCCACACAACAUCAGGCACCAAGUGACGUUGUCGGCGCGAGGUCGAUGGCGGCCGCAGGACCCGACGGCGGCGACGCGGACGGGGUACAUAUCGCCGGUGUCCCCGAGAACAACAACGCGAGCGUCACGGGACUGCGGAAACGGGAGAGUCGCAGCAGAAGCCCUAACUACCACGAGAACGCCGAUGGCGCCCCGAGCUUUUCGGCCCAAUUCCCGCAGGAGGUCGUUGGCUCGGAGGACUUUUGUGCGGUGGCAAACAGGCCACUUGCCGGUCCUGCGCCGUCGGUGCGGAGGACCACCACCGCCGCACUGACGGCGCAGCAGCAGCAGCGCCAGGGAAGCACCACAACGGACGUCUCCAAUAGUGGCAUCCCCGGGGUGGCCACAGUGGCGGCUCGCGUCCACCGUCCAGACAGAGUGCCCUGCCCUCCGCUCUCAGAAGCCAUGGUGAGCGAAAGCGCCGCGCAAACAAGCGCUGCCCCCGUCCCCACCACCACCGCCGCCGCAGCAGCAGCAGCAGGGACGAACCCGAGUGUUCGCAGCGAAGCCUUCCUCUACAAGCUGGUCACCGACCAUCACCUCACCAAGGUCUGGGAGUCGCGGCAGACAUCGCAGCGCUGGCACCUCUGGGGGCUGCAGCUGCGCGGUAUGAUGUACAAGCGCUUCUUCUGCGCCAUACGCGACCCUCGCAUGCACUUCUUUCAGAUUGUCUGCCCGAUCCUCUGUAUCUUCCUGGCGAUGUCGCUGCAGCUGGUGGAGGGCGGCACCGAAGGGACGCUGUACCUCUCGCCCUCCGUUUUUGACGUGGAGUCGGCGAUGCAGGUGUCGGGCUGCACAAACUACAUGGGGGAUGUGGCGCGCAUGCACGAGUAUGGGCACAACUUUAGCAAGGUGUCCUUCAGUGACCCCAACUUCGUCAGCUCAACGGAUAUGUCCAGUGAGCUGCUUGACACGUGGUUCACUCACAGCCGCAACCGCUUCAUGAGCCUGCAGUGCGGCGACCCCGACGUACAGCUGUAUCUGACCUUCUUCUACCAGGAUGUCAUCGGCACGCGGCAAGUCAGCACGCUUCUGUACAACACGUCCUCGCGCAACAGUCUUCCGAUUGCGAUGCACAUGAUGUACGCCAUAGCGUACUUUGGCGCCCUCGGUACGAGCGCUGAUGCGGCCGCGGCCACCUACACGAUGAGCCUGACAGGGCUGCCGCAGGAUGCGAAGGCUACGCAGGCAACAAGCGCCAUCUCCAGCAUUCUCAUCGGCACUGUUUUCCUGAUCCCGCUCACAUUCCUGCCGGCUAAUCCGGUGGCGUGGGUGGCAAAGGAGUACGAGUCACGCGCGCGGCACCUGCAGACGGCCUCGGGGCUCUUCUACCUCGUUUACUGGAUCGGCAAUUUCCUGUUCGACUUCACCGCCUACGUCGUGUCCAUGAUCUUCAUCGUCGUCACCUUUCUUAUCUUCCGGCGCUGGGAGUACGUCGGCUGCGAGACGAUCGGGGCCACGAUUGCCUCCUUCUCCACGUACGGUGUUUGCUACUGCUGGUGCUCCUACAUGGUGAGUUUUGCCUUUACGGAGCACACGACGGCGCAGAUCGUCGUGCUGGGCGUGAGCUUCCUCACCGGAUUCCUGUGCGUUAUGCUGGUGUUCGUGUUGAGCCUGCUCGAAACAACGCUCUCGGCGUCGAACACGCUGCGGUGGGUCUUCCGCUUGCUGCCGCCCUACUCCAUUGGUGAGGUGAUCCUCAACCUGGCGCUGCUGGAGCAGAAGAAGAUGACGGACCCGUCCUUGGCCGCGUGGAGCAUGUCCAUCACAGGCUGGCCUGUCAUCUACAUGGCCGUCGAGGCCCCCAUCUUCGCCGCCAUCACGCUGCUCUGGGACCACCCCAACCGGCGCGCGGUCGUCGACCAACUCAGUGUUUGGUGGGCUGCGCGGAGGUGCCGCUGUUGCGGUGGCUCUCGGUGCUGGCGUCAUCGCACGCAAAAGGCGGAUCGACGAGGCCGGCGGGCAACGAUGCCUGACGCGGUUGCCGUCGCAGUGGAUGGCACCAGCGCUACGCCUGUGAGUGCCGCUGCGGCGUCGCCCGGGGCCCCACCUCCAAGCGCUGUGUCGCCCAUUCUGCGAAGCCACGACAAUGGCUCCCCGGCCAACGGCGCCAAUGAGACGGCGGAGGUGGCGGGCACGGGGACGAGUGCGCUGAUGCAAGGCGCACCGCCGCGGGCCAAAGUCAUUGUCCCAGACCCCUCUCGUUCUCCACACAAGGAAUGGGGAGAGGAGCCGGUGGCGUCGAAUGCGACCCCGCUGCCCAUGACCCCGAUUUCAGCUGCUGACGCAAUCGUGGGAGGCGGUGUCGUGGGGUUGACUGGGCCCACGCGGAUGGGUGUUACAGGGGCACAGCAGAGUCAGCAACAGCUGAUGAGUGGUCGGUCUGUGAGCAACCGGACAAACAGUGCCACGCUGCCCGAGAUGAUCUACCCGCCGCCGCGCUGGUGCAAGGCGGAGGUGCUGCGGCGGCGGCAGGAGGAGGACAGCGACGUCGAGGAGGAACGCGGCGCUGUCUACCAGGCCGAGCGGCAGCACUUUGCUGAGCAGACGGCGCUGUCCAUCAGAGCUGCCUCCUCGCGCCGCCACUCACGCCAGCCGACGGGCAGCGACAGCAAGGAAAAGUGCCAAAAAGAGGCUGAGCCGACGGUGGCGUCGUGUGAUGCCGUGCGUCUUGUCGAUCUUCGCAAGGUCUACCGCGCGCCGCGGAAGGUGGCAGUGAGUGCGCUAACGCUCAGCAUCAUGCACGGCGAGGUAUUCGGCUUCCUCGGAACGAACGGUGCGGGCAAGAGCUCCGCCCUAUCCAUCAUCACGCAGGAGCAGCUGCCAACGAGCGGCCGUGCGUAUGUGUGCGGCAACGAUGUGGUGCGCGAGAGCCGCCGCGCUGCUCGGUGUCUUGGGUACUGCCCGCAGCUCGACGCAUGUCUCGACCUGCUCACUGUGACGGAGCACCUGCUUCUCUACGCCAUGGUGCGCGGUGUGCCCGUCGGACAGCUGGAAAGCCUCGUCACGAGCCUCCUGAUCAUCUGCAACCUCACGCAGUACCGUCAUGCCUCCGCUAGGCAGCUCUCCAGCGGCAAUCGGCGCAAGCUGAGUGUGGCCAUCGCGCUGAUCGGCGCACCCAAGGUGUUGUGCCUGGACGAACCAACCUCCGGCAUGGACCCGCUGGCGCGGCAGCUGCUCUGGCGUGCGAUCGACCGCGUCUCUCGCAAAUGCUGCAUCAUUCUCACGACGCACCACCUGGAUGAGGUCGAAGCCCUCGCGGACUGCGUCGGCAUCAUGGUGGACGGUGGUCUACGCUGCUUCGGUGACAUGCCGCACUUGAAGCACAAGUACGCCGGCAAUGCGUAUGAGCUGACGCUGCGCGUGUCGCCGGGGGCGCGUCGGUGCGCGCAGAAGCGCCGCGAAGAGCAGCGUCAGCGCCCCGCGGCGGAGGCUGGUGUCUCACCGGUGGCGGACUGCCAACGGUCAAACGCAAGUACUGCACACGGCCUGAGCAACAAAAACCAGGGCAGCACAAUCAACUCCGCGCUGGGUCGUCGCAUGUCCACCUCCUACGCCGGCAAAGACCUCAUCGACACCUCCGACGACAUCUUUCAGUUCAUGCUCAAGGCAUUCCCAUCGGCGCUGCUCAUCGAAGUCUUCAACAACGAGCGGUACAUCUACACUCUGCCAGCGACCCGCGACGUGGCGGACGCCAUGCAGCAGCUCCUGCAGCAGCAGCGAAGCCAGCGCAGUAUGCAGCUUGUGCAGACGCCGUUAGUCAGCGCGAAGAACUAUGUCGGUCAGCACAGCGCCAUGAACACAGCCAAAAAGUCGCCGCCGAUCGUGCGUCUGUCCGAGGUGUUUGAGACACUCCGGGCCGCGCAGGCGGAGCUGGGUAUCACAGAGUACAGCGUGUCGCAAGUGUCACUCGAGCAGCUGUUCCUGCGCGUGUGUAGCGCCGAGGAAACACUCAAUCAAGACCGCCGCCACAACCGCGCCAGCGCCGCCUCCCCAACUAGUCAGUCUACAACCUUCGUCGUCAACUCAAACACGUGCAGCGGUGUGACCCCUCAUGGCCAUCUACUGCAGCGACAGGGCAGCCGCGCGUCUUUCAUUGCGCGGAGCUCGGCCGCAGCGAUGAGUGAUAGCGGUGCGUCGCCGUCACGGCGUCGGCUGAGUAUGCCGUCAUACGGCAGUCUUCCUGGCGGCACGACGGCGCCACGUGUGACCUUCGCCGAGUACCGCCGUCAACGCGCCUUGUGGCGACUUCGCACUGAGGCCGCUGAGCCGCACCUUACCCCGUCGAAGCAGCAGCGGGUGGCACAGCCGGAUCAUUAGACCACGCCUUGAGACGUAGCGAGGGAGAAAGAGACAGACACGUGUGAUCGGGCUACGGCUGUUGAUACGCACAUGCGGCCGAAAAAAAAUGUGCAUAUGUGUAUACAUGUGUAUAGCAUAUAUAUAUAUAUAUAUAUACAUAUAUGUGUGUGUGUAUAUAUACGUGUGUCUGCCGCGUUACUCUCUCUGUGUAUAGUAUAUAUGUAUAUAUAUAUAUAUAUAUAUAUAUGUAUAUAUGUAUAUGUGUAUAUGCAUGUGUGUGUGUAUGAUGGUGCCCCUCUUUGCCUUUCUUCGCGUGCGGCUUCUCUCUUUCUCUCUCUCUGAGUGUGCGUAUGUGUGUCGCUUUUCUCCGACACGCCUCCUGCGUUCGGCCGCUCUGUUUCCCUUCUGGUUUUUCGAUACCUCUCUUCUGCCCUUUUCCCAGCCAGGACACACAGGGAGGGAAGGGGGACACACACACACACACUUCAUAAUGCGUGGUAUCCCAGGGUCUCCCGUACACCUCCCCUCCCCCCCACACACACACACACAUACAUACAUCGUCUAUGGGGAGCAGCUUGAAGUGCUUACCAGAUAGAGGACUCAGAGCGCCUCAUCGCUGCUGAUGCCGGCGGUGGGAUCCCGGACGGUGCAGCGGGUGGGUGGGCAGAGCUUGGGUCAGGGGCGGUGCUCAGACGACUGGGCCGGCACCCUGCUGUAACGCACGUGCCGGCGGCUGCUUGAGACCAGGCGAUGUGGGGCCUAUGAGACGGGCUGGGGUUGGACGCCGGUUGUAUGGCAAAGAAUGCGCACACGUUGGAGC
Molecule: unclassified non-coding RNA, 9601 nt
Filed under: Leishmania donovani
Lineage: Eukaryota; Euglenozoa; Kinetoplastea; Trypanosomatida; Trypanosomatidae
Description: gene:LdHU3.15.1030(CDS-product:ATP-binding_casset te_subfamily_A_member_1_putative)
Source: RNAcentral